AAACACAAGAAUUUCCAAAUCUAUUGGCUUCUUCAGGGCAGCCUCUUCCAUGAGAAGAAGCAUAUGAGGAAUGGUGCUGAGAAGAAAUCUGCUCAACUGCUCCAAACUCUCUCACACCUCCAGUGGAAACAUUAUGCAUUUCGAAUGACAUCCUAGAGGUGACAUCAGGGUUCCCAGAAAUCAAAUAUCCCAGCUGAGGAUGAAUCUGAGAUUUUCCAGUAUACGAAUUAUCGGAUUUUGAAGAGGAUCUACCAGUGUCAGCUUGUGCAAGCAUGUUAU
Molecule: unclassified non-coding RNA, 279 nt
Filed under: Hevea brasiliensis (rubber tree)
Lineage: Eukaryota; Viridiplantae; Streptophyta; Magnoliopsida; Malpighiales; Euphorbiaceae
Source: RNAcentral